AGAGUUUGAUCCUGGCUCAGAUUGAACGCUGGCGGCAUGCCUAACACAUGCAAGUCGAACGGAAACGAUGGGAGCUUGCUCCCAGGCGUCGAGUGGCGGACGGGUGAGUAAUACUUAGGAAUCUACCCAGUAGCGGGGGACAACUCGAGGAAACUCGAGCUAAUACCGCAUACGCCCUACGGGGAAAAGCAGGGGAUCUUCGGACCUUGCACUAUUGGAUGAGCCUAAGUCGGAUUAGCUUGUUGGUGAGGUAAAGGCUCACCAAGGCGACGAUCCGUAGCUGGUCUGAGAGGACGAUCAGCCACACUGGGACUGAGACACGGCCCAGACUCCUACGGGAGGCAGCAGUGGGGAAUAUUGGACAAUGGGGGCAACCCUGAUCCAGCAAUGCCGCGUGUGUGAAGAAGGCCUGCGGGUUGUAAAGCACUUUCAGUAGAGAAGAAAAGCCCACGGCUAAUACCCGUGAGUCUUGACGUUACCUACAGAAGAAGCUCCGGCUAACUCCGUGCCAGCAGCCGCGGUAAUACGGAGGGAGCGAGCGUUAAUCGGAAUUACUGGGCGUAAAGCGCGCGUAGGCGGCUUUGUAAGUCGGAUGUGAAAGCCCUGGGCUCAACCUGGGAAUGGCAUUCGAUACUGCAGAGCUAGAGUAUGGUAGAGGGAAGUGGGAUUUCCGGUGUACCGGUGAAAUGCGUAGAUAUC
Molecule: ribosomal RNA, 699 nt
Filed under: uncultured bacterium
Lineage: Bacteria
Description: bacterial SSU rRNA
Rfam family: Bacterial small subunit ribosomal RNA
Source: RNAcentral